AAUCUUACCCGUACGGUUGCCUCGGCGCUGGCGGUCCGGAAGGCCCUCGGGCCCCCGGAUCCUCGGGUCUCCCGCUCGCGGGAGGCUGCCCGCCGGAGUGCCGAAACCAAACUCUUGAUAUUUUAUGUCUCUCUGAGUAAACUUUUAAAUAAGUCAAAACUUUCAACAACGGAUCUCUUGGUUCUGGCAUCGAUGAAGAACGCAGCGAAAUGCGAUAAGUAAUGUGAAUUGCAGAAUUCAGUGAAUCAUCGAAUCUUUGAACGCACAUUGCGCUCGCCAGUAUUCUGGCGAGCAUGCCUGUUCGAGCGUCAUUUCAACCAUCAAGCUCUGCUUGCGUUGGGGAUCCGCGUCUGACGCGGUCCCUCAAAAACAGUGGCGGGCUCGCUAGUCACACCGAGCGUAGUAACUCUACAUCGCUAUGGUCGUGCGGCGGGUUCUUGCCGUAAAACCCCCAAUUUCUAAGGUUGACCUCGGAUCAGGUAGGAAUACCCGCUGAACUUAAGCAUAUCAAUAAGCCGGAGG
This 522-nucleotide ribosomal RNA is filed under the name Sordaria fimicola. Its description in RNAcentral is "eukaryotic LSU rRNA". The stretch from base 158 to 311 matches the Rfam family "5.8S ribosomal RNA". Lineage: Eukaryota; Fungi; Ascomycota; Sordariomycetes; Sordariales; Sordariaceae. The record is from RNAcentral.